GACGAACGCUGGCGGCGUGCUUAACACAUGCAAGUCGAACGGAAAGGCCCUGCUUUUGUGGGGUGCUCGAGUGGCGAACGGGUGAGUAACACGUGAGUAACCUGCCCUUGACUUUGGGAUAACUUCAGGAAACUGGGGCUAAUACCGGAUAGGAGCUCCUGCUGCAUGGUGGGGGUUGGAAAGUUUCGGCGGUUGGGAUGGACUCGCGGCUUAUCAGCUUGGUGGUGGGGUAGUGGCUUACCAAGGCUUUGACGGGUAGCCGGCCUGAGAGGGUGACCGGCCACAUUGGGACUGAGAUACGGCCCAGACUCCUACGGGAGGCAGCAGUGGGGAAUAUUGCACAAUGGGCGGAAGCCUGAUGCAGCAACGCCGCGUGCGGGAUGACGGCCUUCGGGUUGUAAACCGCUUUCGCCUGUGACGAAGCGUGAGUGACGGUAAUGGGUAAAGAAGCACCGGCUAACUACGUG
Molecule: ribosomal RNA, 467 nt
Filed under: uncultured bacterium
Lineage: Bacteria
Description: partial 16S ribosomal RNA
Rfam family: Bacterial small subunit ribosomal RNA
Source: RNAcentral